Molecule: ribosomal RNA, 253 nt
Filed under: uncultured bacterium
Lineage: Bacteria
Description: partial 16S ribosomal RNA
Rfam family: Bacterial small subunit ribosomal RNA
Source: RNAcentral
UACGUAGGGUGCGAGCGUUAAUCGGAAUUACUGGGCGUAAAGCGUGCGCAGGCGGUUCGUUAAGUUCGAUGUGAAAGCCCCGGGCUCAACCUGGGAAUUGCAUUGGAAACUGGCGGGCUUGAGUGUGGCAGAGGGGGGUGGAAUUCCACGUGUAGCAGUGAAAUGCGUAGAGAUGUGGAGGAACACCGAUGGCGAAGGCAGCCCCCUGGGCUAACACUGACGCUCAGGCACGGAAGCGUGGGGAGCAAACAGG